GGUGGCUCAUUAAGUCACAUGUGAAAUCCCCGGGCUUAACCUGGGAACUGCAUGUGAUACUGGUGGUGCUAGAAUAUGUGAGAGGGAAGUAGAAUUCCAGGUGUAGCGGUGAAAUGCGUAGAGAUCUGGAGGAAUACCGAUGGCGAAGGCAGCUUCCUGGCAUAAUAUUGACACUGAGAUUCGAAAGCGUGGGUAGCAAACAGGAUUAGAUACCCUGGUAGUCCACGCCGUAAACGAUGUCUACUAGCCGUUGGGGUCCUUGAGACUUUAGUGGCGCAGUUAACGCGAUAAGUAGACCGCCUGGGGAGUACGGCCGCAAGGUUAAAACUCAAAUGAAUUGACGGGGGCCCGCACAAGCGGUGGAGCAUGUGGUUUAAUUCGAUGCAACGCGAAGAACCUUACCUGGUCUUGACAUAGUGAGAAUCCUGCAGAGAUGCGGGAGUGCCUUCGGGAAUUCACAUACAUGGUGCUGCACUGGCUGUCGUCAGUCUCGUGUUCGUGAGAUGUUUGGGUUAAGUUCCCGCAAUCGAGCGCAACCCUUUUCCCUUAUUUGCCAGUCGGGUUAAGUCCGGGAACUUUAAGGAUAGUGUCCAGUGACAAACCUGGAGGAAGGUCGGGGACGACGUCAAGUCAUCAUGGCCCUUACGACCAGGGCUACACACGUGCUACAAUGGUAGGUACAGAGGGUUGCUACACAGCGAUGUGAUGCUAAUCUCAAAAAGCCUAUCGUAGUCCGGAUUGGAGUCUGCAACUCGA
This 756-nucleotide ribosomal RNA is filed under the name uncultured bacterium. RNAcentral's name for it is "bacterial SSU rRNA". It matches the Rfam family "Bacterial small subunit ribosomal RNA", at positions 574 to 1315 of the family's 1533-position model. The record is from RNAcentral.